CCUACGGGCGGCUGCAGUGGGGAAUAUUGGACAAUGGGCGACAGCCUGAUCCAGCCAUGCCGCGUGUGUGAAGAAGGCCUUCGGGUUGUAAAGCACUUUCAGUGGGGAAGAAAGCCUUGGGGCUAAUACCCUCGAGGAAGGACAUCACCCACAGAAGAAGCACCGGCUAACUCCGUGCCAGCAGCCGCGGUAAUACGGAGGGUGCGAGCGUUAAUCGGAAUUACUGGGCGUAAAGCGCGCGUAGGCGGUCUGAUAAGCCGGUUGUGAAAGCCCCGGGCUCAACCUGGGAACGGCAUCCGGAACUGUCAGGCUAGAGUGCAGGAGAGGAAGGUAGAAUUCCCGGUGUAGCGGUGAAAUGCGUAGAGAUCGGGAGGAAUACCAGUGGCGAAGGCGGCCUUCUGGACUGACACUGACGCUGAGGUGCGAAAGCGUGGGUAGCAAACAGGAUUAGAUACCCGAGUAGUC
This 465-nucleotide ribosomal RNA is filed under the name Vreelandella stevensii. RNAcentral's name for it is "partial 16S ribosomal RNA". It matches the Rfam family "Bacterial small subunit ribosomal RNA", at positions 338 to 795 of the family's 1533-position model. The record is from RNAcentral. Lineage: Bacteria; Pseudomonadati; Pseudomonadota; Gammaproteobacteria; Oceanospirillales; Halomonadaceae.